AAGACCAUAAAUAUUUCUUUCCUUUUAUUAAUAUUCCUUUCCUUUCAUAUCUAUCAAUUAAUCUUGUAUCCAGAAAAUCCCAAGUUCAACCACAAGUUACAAUACAGUGUAAGAUUCAAAAUCUUCUACCUCCAAAAUUGAUGUCGUCUCUGUUGCUCCUUUUUUCUUGAAUCCACCUAUGUUCAAUGACGACACAGAGAAAUUACAGGGUGAAAUCAAAACACGAAGAUGGAACCUCCCAACAUAGUCUCUUCUGUCUUAAGCGAUCGCUACCACACCCACCAUGUUUGGAUUCCGUCAAUAAUUCCACCGCCGGAGCCACCGGACAGGAUUUCUACAUCACUAUCACCACCAAUCAUUCACUGUGCUGCUAUUGAGAAGAGUACACAAGUGGAGUUCACCUCUUGCACAACAAUAAUUGAUUUCCACUUGAUUCACAAUUUUAAGGUUACCACUUAUGUGAUUAAUUCUUGUGCUUUUCUUCCAUUAUCUGCCAUUUUCAAUUUAGCUGUUAGUGAUAUUGUGACUAUCACCCUUAGUAUCGCAACAAUCCAAUGUCAUGAUAGAUAUUCAUUUACAAUGCUUUUAACUGUCCUCCAACUGUUUGAUGAAAUGCCAAAGUGUCUUGUAGCUGUUUGCAAUGCUAUCGGUAGCAGGCUUAAUUUUCAGGACUUCAUUGUGGAGGAAUGUGAUGGUCAUUGUCUAGAAAAUUGCACAACUAUAUUGGGUCAUACUACACAAAUAGUUGUUAAUUUGUCUAACCCCACACUCAAACACCAUGAAGAUAAAGUUUUCUGCUAUCCACAAGACCUCAAAACCCACCCAUUGUGGCUAUGAGAAACAUACUAUGUUUUAGUAGCCUUGAUGAUAAAUAACCAUACACAUGUGCAAAUACAAAAUACUAAACCCACCUUUAAUUUAACAAGGCACCUUCGAAGGUUUGUGUUUGAUGAAGAUUGAGAAAGAUUGCAAAAAAUAUAGGCUCAUGGUGCAUUGAUGAUAGUGUAUAUAAGAGGUUGCUUUGUGUCAAGGGUGCUAGGACUGGUUGCAUUUUUUUUAGUGCUGAUUUUAUUGGUGUUCAAGUGGCUUGGGCCUUAUUGUUAUUGCUUUGGUUGUAUCCUAUUGUGCUUAUUAGUACAUGUGGUUGUAUAGUUUUUUCCUUCAAAGUACUUCUGUUCAACUUUAUUUUUCUAUUGAUUAUGUAAUUUUGUUAGACUUGUUGGUUCCAACAAUAAGGAUUGGUGCAUCACGUUUUUUCCCAGAACCAUGAAUAAUAAUUCUCUAGGUGCAUUGAUGACCACAUAUUUCAAUAAGAAUGAUGCAAUGUUUAUCAAAGUAGAAGUUUAUUUUCUCCAUUAUUAUUAAUUUUAAUCUGUCAGUACUAUUUACUA
Molecule: long non-coding RNA, 1391 nt
Organism: Trifolium pratense (red clover)
Lineage: Eukaryota; Viridiplantae; Streptophyta; Magnoliopsida; Fabales; Fabaceae
Exons: 2
Source: RefSeq, a predicted model, not a curated record